Macaca mulatta (Rhesus monkey) is the source of this 1426-nucleotide non-coding RNA. NCBI's taxonomy places the organism in Eukaryota, Metazoa, Chordata, Mammalia, Primates, Cercopithecidae. The record is from RefSeq and is a predicted model, not a curated record.
AUACGCAGUCUGUCUUGACUGAAAUUUCUCUCUGCAGUUUAUAACUGUACUCAAUAAAAUAUAAAUAACUAUAAAAUGUGAAGUGCUUAUCAAGGGGAUCUAACUGAGUCUUAGGGGAGUGGAAUGGCUUCAAUAAGGUAUGCUUUUUUCAAAGCUUUAUCUUCCUGGGCAGGAAUUUCCUGGGACAGAGAAAUAAGACUCAGAUGAAUAAAAUCAUAGAGGAAGAAGGAGACAUUAUAACUGAUACUGCAGACAUUCAAAAGAUUUUUAGAGACUACCGUAAACAACUAUAUUUACAGUUGUUUUCCAAUUCCAAUGAAUUGGAAAAAAAUGGAUUAAUUCCUAGACACAUACAACUGACAAAGAUGAUCCAUGAAGAAAUAUGAAAGCUGAACACAUCAAUAACAAGUAACAUGAUCGAAGCCACAAUAAAAAGCCAUAAUAAAAGUCACAAAUUCCAAGAUUUGGAAGCAAACAGGUAAAAUUUGUAUAAAGAAAAUUUGACCUUGGUAAGGUUAUCGUAAGAGUGGAAGUACCUAAUGAAGAAAUAAUUGAGAACCAUAUGACUUAAAUUUCUGUACAUCAAGCUAUGGGAUUUGAACUUCUUGCCUCAGUAUUUGGAGAGACAGAUUGUUUGAAAAAUGUGUAUGUCAGUUAUUUACAUAUAAUAUAUAAGUAUUGAUUAUAUGUUGAUUAUUCACAUAUUGCCUCUCAGCCAUUCCCUCACCCUUCUAUACUCUGCUAUGUGCUAUGAGGUCCGGGAGUCUGCGAAUCAUAACUCCAGCUUUCUUUUAGCUGACAUCCUCUUAGAAUCUGACCAUGGAACCAUUGGGAAAUGACUGAUAGAUGAGAGGAGGGAAACAGAGGUGGGUUUACUGUUCCAGGGAACUCCAGCUCCCUUCUGUAUCCCUAGUACCAGCCCAGUGAGCUAUCUUCGUCAUUUGAGAAGCAGCCAUGAAGUGUCUACCCCUCCACAGGUCUCGGCACCAGCCUAAGUGUGGCCCCUCCUGAAAUCCAAACACCAGCCACAUGUGCACCUACACAAAUGUGUGGGAACCUGACUGGAGAAUACCAUGAGAGACAUAAAGUGUCUGCAAGAUAAAGUGUCUACAUGUGUCACUUAGCAGUAUGAUGCAAUCUGGCCAGGGGAUUUCCAGGAGACACGACCACCUCAGCACAGAUAGAAUUCUCAUAAACCUUGAAACAAAACUUGCCUUUACAAGAAUAGCUUAAACUACUUUUAUAAAAGUAACACCUGGUAAGUGACCCUGCAUUAACACAGAUAUAAGAAAGGAAGAAGAAUCUCCUAAUAUCUGAGAAUGGUCUUUGUACAGAGAUCUACCUGACUGUUUUUGGCCUAUACCACCAGCCUCCUCCCGCUGUCCCUCUUUUAAGAAUAUUGCCAUAAUAAACCACUUGAAUAUCA